UACGGAGGGUGCAAGCGUUGUUCGGAAUUACUGGGCGUAAAGCGCGUGCAGGCGGUUCGGUAAGUCAGAUGUGAAAGCCCUGGGCUCAACCCAGGAAGUGCAUUUGAUACUGCCGGGCUAGAGUAUGGGAGAGGAGAGUGGAAUUCCCAGUGUAGAGGUGAAAUUCGUAGAUAUUGGGAGGAACACCCGUGGCGAAGGCGACUCUCUGGACCAAUACUGACGCUGAGACGCGAAAGCGUGGGGAGCAAACAGG
Molecule: ribosomal RNA, 253 nt
Filed under: uncultured prokaryote
Description: partial 16S ribosomal RNA
Rfam family: Bacterial small subunit ribosomal RNA
Source: RNAcentral